Molecule: long non-coding RNA, 743 nt
Filed under: Elaeis guineensis (African oil palm)
Lineage: Eukaryota; Viridiplantae; Streptophyta; Magnoliopsida; Arecales; Arecaceae
Description: long non-coding RNA (EGUI_LNC030670)
Source: RNAcentral
AUUUAGGAUCUUGUUGUAGGUUCUAUAGGCGCUGAUACAAGGAUUGUGUGCAGUUGAAGGGCAAAAACUGCUCUCUCAAUGCUUUCUUCAUCUUUAUCUAGUCUUGGAUUUUUGGUUUGUCCCUGCGCUUCCUGAUUUUUUUUUAACUAUUUUCACCAUACAGAAGCUCGACCUGUCAAUUUUAAGGCAAUAAGUUUUAUCUUUUUAUCAUCAGGUAUCUCCUUGUACAUGAAAAUGCAUUCGAUCUAAUCCAACCAAUCAAGGAACACCUUCAUCGGCAGACCACCUGAAUAUUCAGGUAGAUCUACUCGUAUGGAAUCAAACCAGUAGGUUGAUCAUUCAAAUAAGUCACCAUGACCUUCUCGCUGGUAUGUAGGAAGACCCCUAUGAAAGAGAUUUUCGAAAUCUAAAAACUCUCCUUCAGAUCUGUGAUCAUCAGGUUCCACCUCGGAUCUCACAUCUCAAAUUUCUAAUUGCAUAAGAUGCGCAAUCAGAUCUGCCACUGGUCUCUUCAAAUCUUUGCACUCCAACAUCAGGUCCCAUUCUUGUUAUGUGAUUUCUUCAUAGACUGCUGCUUGAUUCGUAGGUCGGUUCUUCUUACGACCAUCACCUGCCAUCUGAACUAUAGAAAAAAAUCAGCACUUAUGAAUUUGAAGGGCUCUAAUACCAACUGAUGCAACCUACAGCAUGGUGAUUGUUGGGAAAAAAGGAUGGAAGACGCACGAAAUAAUAAAAGACGGAGA